AACAGUUCUAUCCUCAGUGCUCAACAUGGCCAGGGGAAUGGAGCAAGCUCAUUUAACUGCUACAUCAACCCCAAAGACAAGAUAUGGAUGUUUAUUCUACAGAUGAAGGACUCGAAGCACAGGGAGUUUACAGAAUGGGCCAACUUAACAAAGCUAUUGCUAAUGUUGUGCUUCCGACCUCAGUCUUACUCAUUCGUGGCUUUUUCCAGUGGCAUCAUGUAUCAACAAAGAGUCUAUGAUACAUGUUCAAUGGGGAUAAAGCUGAGUGAAAGAAAGAAGGCAGAGGACAAUUGAGAGAGAAAUGGG
Hyaena hyaena (striped hyena) is the source of this 306-nucleotide long non-coding RNA. RefSeq lists it as uncharacterized. The record is from RefSeq and is a predicted model, not a curated record. NCBI's taxonomy places the organism in Eukaryota, Metazoa, Chordata, Mammalia, Carnivora, Hyaenidae. The transcript has 3 exons.